AGUGAACGCUGGCGGUAGGCCUAACACAUGCAAGUCGAACGGCAGCACAGUAAGAGCUUGCUCUUACGGGUGGCGAGUGGCGGACGGGUGAGGAAUACAUCGGAAUCUACUUUUUCGUGGGGGAUAACGUAGGGAAACUUACGCUAAUACCGCAUACGACCUACGGGUGAAAGCAGGGGAUCUUCGGACCUUGCGCGAUUGAAUGAGCCGAUGUCGGAUUAGCUAGUUGGCGGGGUAAAGGCCCACCAAGGCGACGAUCCGUAGCUGGUCUGAGAGGAUGAUCAGCCACACUGGAACUGAGACACGGUCCAGACUCCUACGGGAGGCAGCAGUAGGGAAUAUUGGGCAAUGGGCGAAAGCCUGACCCAGCCACACCGCGUGGGUGAAGAAGGCCUUCGGGUUGUAAAGCCCUUUUGUUGGGAAAGAAAAGCAGCAGGUUAAUACCCCGCUGUUCUGACGGUACCCAAAGAAUAAGCACCGGCUAACUUCGUG
RNAcentral lists this ribosomal RNA (492 nucleotides) under uncultured bacterium. RNAcentral describes it as "partial 16S ribosomal RNA". It matches the Rfam family "Bacterial small subunit ribosomal RNA", at positions 29 to 507 of the family's 1533-position model. The record is from RNAcentral.